RNAcentral lists this ribosomal RNA (504 nucleotides) under uncultured bacterium. Its description in RNAcentral is "partial 16S ribosomal RNA". It matches the Rfam family "Bacterial small subunit ribosomal RNA", at positions 30 to 523 of the family's 1533-position model. The record is from RNAcentral.
AUUGAACGCUGGCGGCAGGCCUAACACAUGCAAGCCGAACGGUAGCACAGAGAGCUUGCUCUCGGGUGACGAGUGGCGGACGGGUGAGUAACGUCUGGGAAACUGCCCGAUGGAGGGGGAUAACUACUGGAAACGGUAGCUACUACCGCAUAACGUCGCAAGACCAAAGUGGGGGACCUUCGGGCCUCACACCAUCGGAUGUGCCCAGAUGGGAUUAGCUAGUAGGUGGGGUAAUGGCUCACCUAGGCGACGAUCCCUAGCUGGUCUGAGAGGAUGACCAGCCACACUGGAACUGAGACACGGUCCAGACUCCUACGGGAGGCAGCAGUGGGGAAUAUUGCACAAUGGGCGCAAGCCUGAUGCAGCCAUGCCGCGUGUAUGAAGAAGGCCUUCGGGUUGUAAAGUACUUUCAGCGGGGAGGAAGGCGGUGAAGUUAAUAACUUCACCGAUUGACGUUACCCGCAGAAGAAGCACCGGCUAACUCCGUGCCAGCCGCCGCGGUAA